RNAcentral lists this long non-coding RNA (429 nucleotides) under Homo sapiens (human). RNAcentral describes it as "LHRI_LNC178.1". The record is from RNAcentral. Lineage: Eukaryota; Metazoa; Chordata; Mammalia; Primates; Hominidae.
UAUAUAAAUAAAGUAUUCAAUCAAGAAACUGCUGUAUUAAUUUAGGGAAAUGAUUGAUUGAUAGUCUCAUAAGUCAAAUUUUCAUCACAUAAUUUUAAGCUCCAUUCUUUUCCAUAUACAGAAAACUACCCGUGGGGAAGAAACUGGUGAAAUGGGAUCCCUCCUCUACCAAAUUCUGCCUUCUAGAGCUAGAUAGAUAGAUAGGGAAUUUUGCUUCUCUCCAAAUUUCAAGUUUGGUUAAGUUCUUGGAACUCAAAGUGUGAAAAUUUUAUGAAGUAAAAUUAUUUAACUCUGUGUAUAUUAGGUUAAAUAAAAAUAAAACUUAAAAAGACAAGCUUAGGGUGCUGCAUUGGCUUGUUGCAUCUACCUUCUAAACUUUACCCUGAAGGCUGCUGGAAAAAAAGUAAGUUAUGCUGAGUCCAAGUUUCC